GAAUAUGAAGCGAUAUAUUGCAAUUAGUUUCGACCUAAUUUUAGGUACCAAAAUACCCUUAUUCU
Molecule: transfer RNA, 65 nt
Filed under: Dacus durbanensis
Lineage: Eukaryota; Metazoa; Arthropoda; Insecta; Diptera; Tephritidae
Description: tRNA-Arg
Source: RNAcentral